RNAcentral lists this long non-coding RNA (201 nucleotides) under Ananas comosus (pineapple). RNAcentral describes it as "long non-coding RNA (ACOM_LNC014734)". Lineage: Eukaryota; Viridiplantae; Streptophyta; Magnoliopsida; Poales; Bromeliaceae. The record is from RNAcentral.
AAUUGGUGUCUUAUAAUAAAAUUAUUAGAUUUUGUUUAAAAUAAUAAAUUUGCUAACAAUAAUGUAGAAAUUUGUGAUAAAGAAUAGUUUAGAAAUAUCUAUAAAAAAAAUUGUAAAAGAUAGAAAAAUAAAAAAUAAUUUAAAAUACAGUAUAAAGAUUGAUAAAAUAAAAUUAUACAACAGUGUUUUGAAAAAAAAAAA